RNAcentral lists this non-coding RNA (29 nucleotides) under Mus musculus (house mouse). The record is from RNAcentral. Lineage: Eukaryota; Metazoa; Chordata; Mammalia; Rodentia; Muridae.
UGAGUUAAGAAAAGAAUUGGCAUUUUGAC